AGUGAUAUGGCUGAGUGUAUAGGCAGUAAAUUGUAAAUUUAUUUAUGAGCGUGAGCUCUGUUACUA
RNAcentral lists this transfer RNA (66 nucleotides) under Scaphidema metallicum. RNAcentral's name for it is "tRNA-Tyr". It matches the Rfam family "tRNA". Rfam says of the family: Transfer RNA (tRNA) molecules are approximately 80 nucleotides in length. Their secondary structure includes four short double-helical elements and three loops (D, anti-codon, and T loops). Further hydrogen bonds mediate the characteristic L-shaped molecular structure. tRNAs have two regions of fundamental functional importance: the anti-codon, which is responsible for specific mRNA codon recognition, and the 3' end, to which the tRNAs corresponding amino acid is attached (by aminoacyl-tRNA synthetases). tRNAs cope with the degeneracy of the genetic code in two manners: having more than one tRNA (with a specific anti-codon) for a particular amino acid; and 'wobble' base-pairing, i.e. permitting non-standard base-pairing at the 3rd anti-codon position. Lineage: Eukaryota; Metazoa; Arthropoda; Insecta; Coleoptera; Tenebrionidae. The record is from RNAcentral.